RNAcentral lists this ribosomal RNA (407 nucleotides) under uncultured bacterium. RNAcentral describes it as "partial 16S ribosomal RNA". It matches the Rfam family "Bacterial small subunit ribosomal RNA", at positions 30 to 526 of the family's 1533-position model. The record is from RNAcentral.
AUUGAACGCUAGCGGGAUGCUUUACACAUGCAAGUCGAACGGAGUGGCGAACGGGUGAGUAAUGUAUCGGAACGUGCCCAGUAGCGGGGGAUACAUACGCGACAGCGUAGCUAAUACCCACUCCUCUUGGAGCGGCCGAUAUCGGGUUAGCUAGUUGGUGAGGUAACGGCCCACCAAGGCGACGAUCCGUAGCUGGUUUGAGAGGACGACCAGCCACACUGGGACUGAGACACGGCCCAGACUCCUACGGGAGGCAGCAGUGGGGAAUUUUGGACAAUGGGGGCAACCCUGAUCCAGCCAUCCCGCGUGUGCGAUGAAGGCCUUCGGGUUGUAAAGCACUUUUGGCAGGAAAGCGGUACCUGCAGAAUAAGCACCGGCUAACUACGUGCCAGCAGCCGCGGUAAUUC